This 301-nucleotide ribosomal RNA is filed under the name uncultured bacterium. Its description in RNAcentral is "partial 16S ribosomal RNA". It matches the Rfam family "Bacterial small subunit ribosomal RNA", at positions 509 to 809 of the family's 1533-position model. The record is from RNAcentral.
CAGUCGCCGCGGGAAUACAGAGGCCUCAAGCGUUGUUCGGAUUCAUUGGGCGUAAAGGGUGCGUAGGUGGCUUGGUAAGUUGAAGGUGAAAUCUCGGGGCUUAACCCCGAAACUGCCUUCAAUACUGCUAGGCUCGAGGACUGUAGAGGAGAAUGGAAUUCACGGUGUAGCAGUGAAAUGCGUAGAUAUCGUGAGGAAGACCAGUGGCGAAGGCGAUUCUCUGGGCAGUUCCUGACACUGAGGCACGAAGGCCAGGGGAGCAAACGGGAUUAGAUACCCCCGUGUCCCUGUCUCUUAUACA